AUGUCUAGAGCUGGCACUGAAACUUUACUGAAAUCAAAGACUCAAGCUAUACCCACCUUCAUCUCAAGCUGUUUCCGUUUGCCUCUGGCUAUCUGCGAGAAGUUCAGGCAAAUCGUGUCUGACCAAUGGUGGGGCCGCGAGGAUGGCAAGAAGAAAAUGCAUUGGUGCUCAUGGGAGUGGCUCUCUACACCGAAAUCCCUUGGGGGCGUGGGCUUUGGGGAUAUGGCGCUCUUCAAUCGUGCUAUGUUGGGAAAACAAGGUUGGAGGCUGCUGACUGAUCCCGAAUCUUUGUGUGCAUAGGUUUUAAAGGGAAGGUAUUUUCCUUUUGGUGACUUCUGGAAUGCUACUGCUCCUCGUUCUGCCUCGGCCACUUGGCGUGCUAUUCUGCAUGGUCGGGACCUGCUCAAGAAAGGUGUGCAAUGGGGGAUAGGGGAUGGCAGAAGUACCCACAUUGUCAAUGAUCAUUAGAUCCCCUCUACUCCUCCUGCUAUGCUUCGACCUCUAUCCCCCAUUCCAAGUUCAGCUACGGUCCACUGCUUUCUUGAUGAGGACAACGGGGGAUGGAAUGAGGAAUCAGUGAGAGCUUUCUUUUCUGGAGAGGUGGCUAACGACAUUCUCAAGAUCCCUGUUAAUUUGGCGGGAGGCCGGACUAUGUGCACUGGCCAUUCACAAAAUAUGGUCAAUACUCUGUCCGCUCAGCCUACAACAUGGCCAGGACGAGCAUGUUUCUGUCGGCUCGAAGUGGAAAUGGUGGGGGUCAGCACUCCAGUUGGUCCUUGGAGGAAAAGCAGUGGAAGAAGCUCUGGAACAUUAAGGUUCCAAACAAGAUGA
Molecule: ribosomal RNA, 831 nt
Filed under: Triticum aestivum (bread wheat)
Lineage: Eukaryota; Viridiplantae; Streptophyta; Magnoliopsida; Poales; Poaceae
Description: partial small subunit ribosomal RNA
Source: RNAcentral